CUGUGAUGGAAAUUAUAACUUAUAUCUGUAGUGUGAUGAAAUCAGAGGCUGUUUCUGAGUCA
RNAcentral lists this small nucleolar RNA (62 nucleotides) under Periophthalmus magnuspinnatus. RNAcentral describes it as "Small nucleolar RNA SNORD95 (ENSPMGG00000004463.1)". Lineage: Eukaryota; Metazoa; Chordata; Actinopteri; Gobiiformes; Gobiidae. The record is from RNAcentral.